GUGAAUUUACGUUUAUUUUCUAUUUGAUCUUUCAAAUCUCAGUGGGCAGACAGAAACAGAGAGCAAACUGAGGUUCAGGGAGGUACCCAGGGACAAUGCAAAACUUCAACUCUGGUCUUCUCUCUGAUGAUCUGACACCCUUCUACGUCACCACACUAAUCUUGUCACAUCAGGCAAGGCAGGAAAAUGUCAGGUAAGAAGGAGAAAUAGUGAAAUGUGCACAUGUUCCUUUUUGUUGCCCUCCAAUCAUGAACGGAGCUCCACUCAGGACUUCAGUUUAAUCUCUCGCUUGACUUGGAAAGGAGAAGCAUGUGGGGAAGCGCUGUUGGUGGCCCAUUUUUGCAACGUAGAGCCUGUCUCCUGUGAGAGACCCAGAAGCUCCUUCUUUGAUAAUUAGUCUCCUGCCUCGGUCAGAGCUGUUAAGAACUCUGUAUGAACUGCCACCACUUGUGGGUGUGUGGAACCCCGUGAGCUUCCUAUAGCUACAGCUGCAGGUGACAUUUUGAGACACUUCUGCAAGGCUUUCUCAACUUACCUUAAAGCAGUGGUUCUCAGACUUCAGUGUGCAUUCGAAUCACCUGGAGGGCUUGUUAAACCAGCUGGCUGGGCUCCACCUGGAGAGGUUUAUUCGUUAGGUCUGGGAUGCAUCCUAAGAAUCUGCAUAUCUAACAAGUUCCCAGGUGAUGCUGAUGCUGCUUGUCCUGAAGACACACUCCAAGCUCCACUGGGGUUUUUAGCUGAAAUGGGUAUGUAAACACCCUAAGUAAAAUGGAGAAACCAAUGCAGUGAAUUAUUGAAUAAAUAUUUGUCAUAUAUCACAGAGUGCAGUGUAUUAUGUGAGGCGUUUGGGGACUAUUUCAGCUAAAUGUGUACAAUUCCGGCCACCUAAGAUCUUAAUAGUAAUUGUAAGACAGUGUUUUUGUUUACCAAGUAAUUUGAAUAAUCUCUUAGAGCAUGUUAUUUAAGAAAAUUCUUCUCCCUCUUGUAUAAAAUACUAAUCUAAU
RNAcentral lists this long non-coding RNA (1004 nucleotides) under Equus caballus (horse). RNAcentral describes it as "lncRNA (ENSECAG00000044387.1)". Lineage: Eukaryota; Metazoa; Chordata; Mammalia; Perissodactyla; Equidae. The record is from RNAcentral.